RNAcentral lists this unclassified non-coding RNA (305 nucleotides) under plant metagenome. RNAcentral describes it as "partial contains 5.8S ribosomal RNA, internal transcribed spacer 2, and large subunit ribosomal RNA". The stretch from base 1 to 105 matches the Rfam family "5.8S ribosomal RNA", at positions 50 to 154 of the family's 154-position model. The record is from RNAcentral.
GAAAUGCGAUAAGUAGUGUGAAUUGCAGAAUGCAGUGAAUCAUCGAAUCUUUGAACGCACAUUGCGCCCUUUGGUAUUCCUUAGGGCAUGCCUGUUCGAGCGUCAUCUAAACCUUCAAGCCCUGCUUGGUGUUGGGUGCCUGUCCCGCCUCCGCGCGCGGACUCACCUCAAAUCCAUUGGCGGCCCCCGCGUCGGCCACGAGCGCAGCAGAAACGCGAACUCGUGAGCCCGUCCGGGCGGCUCCCAGAAGCUACACCCACCCAGUUUGACCUCGGAUCAGGUAGGGAUACCCGCUGAACUUAAGC